This 468-nucleotide ribosomal RNA is filed under the name uncultured bacterium. RNAcentral's name for it is "partial 16S ribosomal RNA". It matches the Rfam family "Bacterial small subunit ribosomal RNA", at positions 28 to 507 of the family's 1533-position model. The record is from RNAcentral.
GACGAACGCUGGCGGCGUGCUUAACACAUGCAAGUCGAACGGAAAGGCCCUGCUUUUGUGGGGUGCUCGAGUGGCGAACGGGUGAGUAACACGUGAGUAACCUGCCCUUGACUGUGGGAUAACUUCAGGAAACUGGGGCUAAUACCGGAUAGGAGCUCCUGCUGCAUGGUGGGGGUUGGAAAGUUUCGGCGGUUGGGGAUGGACUCGCGGCUUAUCAGCUUGUUGGUGGGGUAGUGGCUUACCAAGGCUUUGACGGGUAGCCGGCCUGAGAGGGUGGCCGGCCACAUUGGGCCUGAGAUACGGCCCAGACUCCUACGGGAGGCAGCAGUGGGGAAUAUUGCACAAUGGGCGGAAGCCUGAUGCAGCACCGCCGCGUGCGGGAUGACGGCCUUCGGGUUGUAAACCGCUUUCGCCUGUGACGAAGCGUGAGUGACGGUAAUGGGUAAAGAAGCACCGGCUAACUACGUG